UACGUAGGUGGCAAGCGUUGUCCGGAAUUAUUGGGCGUAAAGGGCGUGUAGGUGGAUUUUUAAGUCGUGUGUCUAAGUGCGAAGCUCAACUUCGUAUAGGCGCAGGAAACUGGGAAUCUUGAGUGCAGGAGAGGAAAGUGGAAUUCCCAGUGUAGCGGUGAAAUGCGUAGAUAUUGGGAGGAACACCAGUGGCGAAGGCGACUUUCUGGACUGUGUCUGACACUGAGGCGCGAAAGCUAGGGGAGCGAACGAG
This 253-nucleotide ribosomal RNA is filed under the name uncultured bacterium. RNAcentral describes it as "partial 16S ribosomal RNA". It matches the Rfam family "Bacterial small subunit ribosomal RNA", at positions 524 to 776 of the family's 1533-position model. The record is from RNAcentral.